AGAGCGAACGCUGGCGGCAGGCCUAACACAUGCAAGUCGAGCGCCCGUAGCAAUACGGGAGCGGCAGACGGGAUAGUAACACGUGGGAACGCGCCCUUCGGUUCGGAAUAACUCAGGGAAACUUGAGCUAAUACCGAAUACGCCCUUACGGGGAAAGAUUUAUUGCCGAAGGAACGGCCCGCGUCCGAUUAGCUAGUUGGUGAGGUAAUGGCUCACCAAGGCUACGAUCGGUAGCUGGUCUGAGAGGAUGACCAGCAUCACUGGGACUGAGACACGGCCCAGACUCCUACGGGAGGCAGCAGUGGGGAAUAUUGGACAAUGGGCGCAAGCCUGAUCCAGCCAUGCCGCGUGGAUGAUGGAGGCCUUAGGGUUGUAAAGUCCUUUUAACGGGGAAGAUAAUGACGGUACCCGUAGAAUAAGCCCGGCUAACUUCGUGCCAGCAGCCGC
This 447-nucleotide ribosomal RNA is filed under the name uncultured bacterium. RNAcentral's name for it is "SSU rRNA". It matches the Rfam family "Bacterial small subunit ribosomal RNA", at positions 26 to 518 of the family's 1533-position model. The record is from RNAcentral.